AUCAGAUUGCAUAUAGGGGUAAACCAAUUGGGAUAACAUUAGAUUUUUUCAACACAGACCUUGAAAGCUAGAAGAUCCUGGAACAACAUAUUUCAAACUCUGAAAGAUAAUGGGUUCCAGCCAAAAAUCUUGUAUCCAGCAAAACUAAGCUUCAGAUUUGAAGAUGAAAUAAAACCUUUCCACGAUAAAUAAAAGUUAAAAGAAUUUACAGCUAGAAAACCAGCACUACAAAACAUCCUUGGAAAAAUAUUUUAUGAAGAGGAAAUGAAAAACCAACAGAGGGAGGUAGUACACUAAAAGAAAAGCUAAUCAAAGAGGAAAACCAAGUCAAAUUAAAUAACAAAAAUAAACAAAUAUGGCUGGAAAUACAAACCAUAUCUCAAUAGUAACCUUAAAUGUUAAUAGCUUAAACUCACCAAUCAAAAGACAUAGGCUAGCAAAUUUGAUUUAAAAAAAAAAGAUCCAACAAUAUCCUGCCUACAGGAGACUCAUUUGAUAGGAAAAGAUAUAGACAGACUGAAAGUGAGAGGUUGGGAAAAAUCAUACCACUCACAUGUACUGCGGAAGCAAUUAGGGGUUUCCAUACUCUCAUCAAAUAAAAUAGACUUCAAGCCAAAAUUAAUCAAAAGGGAUAAAGAUGGACAUUACAUACUGCUCAAGGGAACCAUACACCAACAAGACAUCACAAUCAUAAAUAUAUAUGCCCCAAACAAUGGUGCAACUAUGUACAUCAGACAAAUUCUUCUCAAGUUCAAGAGUCAGAUUGACCACAACACAAUAAUCCUGAGUGACUUUAAUACACCUCUCUCACCACUGGACAAAUCUUCCAAACAAAAGUUGAAUAAAGGAACUAUAGAGCUCAAUAACACAAUUAAUAACUUAGACUUAACUGACAUAUAUAGAAUAUAUCAACUGGCAUCAAGCGGACACAUUUUCUUCUCAGCAGCACAUGGAUCCUUCUCAAAAUUAGACAUUAGACUAUGUCACAGGGCAACUCUUAGCAAAUGUAAAGGAGUAGGGAUACUACCGUGCAUUUUAUCAGAUCAUAAUGGAAUGAAAUUGGAAAUCAACGACAAAAUAAAGAGUAAAAUAUCUGUAUUACAUGGAGACUGAACAAUAUGCUACUGAAUGAACAAUGGGUUACAGAAGACAUCAAGGAGGAGAUUAAAAAAUUAUUAGAGGUAAAUGAGAACACAGAUAAAACAU
Molecule: long non-coding RNA, 1206 nt
Filed under: Marmota monax (woodchuck)
Lineage: Eukaryota; Metazoa; Chordata; Mammalia; Rodentia; Sciuridae
Source: RNAcentral